GUCGUGGAACCCUAACUGUUUUCUUGAGGCUCCCAAUGGGUAGUGGAUGUCGUGGAACCCUAACUGUUUUCUUCAGGCUGCCAAUGGGUCGUGGAUGUCGUGGAACGUGAUUGAAGUUUUAACAUACGUUUGGAUAUAAUUGUACACCAGAUCAAACAUGAAUCAGAGCUGAUGAUUUUAAAUGUUUGUAAAAUGGCCCGGAUGGAUUUCGGGGAGAUGGGUGUUUUUUGCCCUUGGACGUUGCGAUUAUAUCCCCCUCAUCAGGUUCUAUACUUACUCCAAGCCGUCCAUUGUCAACUAACAACAAGUACCAUCUGUCAACGUCUUUUGGUAUGACGCGGCUGGAGAUGAACCCCGGACCUUUCGCUCUCCGGGCGGCCGCUCUACCACUAGACCACGGACGCGGUUCUAAUAAACGAAAAUGUUGAUGAUUCAAAUGAUAACAUUACUUUACGAAUUAUUAAAAUAUCCUGGGCAACCAUUGGAAAAAUCGUCAAGUAAACGAUCUACUUUCAUCCCCAAAGUUUGGAGGGAUGAUGAAGGCAAAUACAGCAAGGGAACACGUCUGUAAUAGGGUCAAGUCACUCCACUUAGAUCCCCUUGUAUGCAUUUUCCACGAAGGAAAUUUAAAAAUGAAACUAGUCCGAUUUUUAUUCUCAUUGUGGGCCACACAUUUCUCUGAACUCAUAAAUGAAGAUGUUGAUGUUUAAAAUGACAACGUUACUUCCCAAUUGUUGUAAACAUCCCGGGAUACUAUUGGAAAACGUCAGUUAGCAGUCUCCCUUCAUCCCCAACGUGUGCUGGGACGAUGAAUGUGAACAGGCUAACAAAGCAAAGAAACAAGUCUAGAAUUGGGUGUGUCCUACUUCUUCUCCUUGUGACCUGGAAGUGUUCAGGAAGAAACGUGCCGAGUUUCAACGUGUUGUUCGUGUGACUAAACGCUCAAGCUUGGAAAUCUUCUGCGACUAUUCCUAAGCCUGGACACAUGCCAUCAACGUUCCAGUACCAAAACCAUAGAAGGCCACCACUUCGCCUGCUUCAUAUAGACCGGUUUCACUUACUUCCAAUCUAUGUAAAAUUAUGGAAAGAUUUCUCAAAAUUCGAUUGAAUUAUUUUCUUGAGAACAACAGGCUUUUCUCGAGAAUACAGUCAGGCUUUUGAAAGGGACGUUAAUGUUCUUAUCAUCAUAUACGACGCCAGACCGAAGCACAAAAUACUUUAUGCAAUCAAGAGUACAUGUUGUGCGUCGUCCUUGGUAUUAAAAACGCAUAUGGUAUGAUCUGGAGACAAGGCUUCAAUUAACUUACCCCUUGCUUGCCUUGUCUCGACUUCUGAUAGUACGGUAUUACAUGUCUGGUCAAACAGUUCAGGAAUAUGGGGUGAAGAAAAUAUGCAAAUUAUUGAGAGUGUCGCGACAGUCAUACUGCAUCCGAUAUUGGCAUGGCAGUUGCCCGAAUUGAGGUGGGGUAGUGAAAACAAGCUUUAAACAUAAUGGACAAAGGGCACGCACAUCUAAAAUCGCCCAAAUUCAAUGACAUGUCACAUUAAUAACGUGUAUGACCACCCCCUGUGAGAAGACUCUACAAAACUCUCCGGCGCAC
Haliotis rufescens (red abalone) is the source of this 1601-nucleotide long non-coding RNA. RefSeq lists it as uncharacterized. The record is from RefSeq and is a predicted model, not a curated record. The transcript has 2 exons. NCBI's taxonomy places the organism in Eukaryota, Metazoa, Mollusca, Gastropoda, Lepetellida, Haliotidae.